Molecule: transfer RNA, 71 nt
Filed under: Marmota monax (woodchuck)
Lineage: Eukaryota; Metazoa; Chordata; Mammalia; Rodentia; Sciuridae
Description: tRNA.Ala
Source: RNAcentral
UUGGGUGUGGCUCAGUGAUAGAGCAUUUGCCUAGCAGUGCAAGGCCUUGAGUUAGAUCCCCAGCACCCGUG